UACGUAGGGGGCAAGCGUUGCCCGGAUUCACUGGGCGUAAAGCGCGUGUAGGCGGUCCGUUAAGUCGGAUGUGAAAUCUCCAGGCUCAACCUGGAAAUUGCCUCCGAUACUGGCGGACUUGAGGACGGUAGAGGUCGGUGGAAUGGCGAGUGUACCGGUGAAAUGGGCAGAUAUUCGCCAGAACACCAGUGGCGAAGGCGGCCGACUGGGCCGUUCCUGACGCUGAGACGCGAAAGCCAGGGGAGCGAACCGG
Molecule: ribosomal RNA, 253 nt
Filed under: uncultured bacterium
Lineage: Bacteria
Description: partial 16S ribosomal RNA
Rfam family: Bacterial small subunit ribosomal RNA
Source: RNAcentral